RNAcentral lists this non-coding RNA (1786 nucleotides) under Blastomyces gilchristii SLH14081. RNAcentral's name for it is "Ajellomyces dermatitidis SLH14081 Eukaryotic small subunit ribosomal RNA". It matches the Rfam family "Eukaryotic small subunit ribosomal RNA", at positions 1117 to 1831 of the family's 1831-position model. Lineage: Eukaryota; Fungi; Ascomycota; Eurotiomycetes; Onygenales; Ajellomycetaceae. The record is from Rfam by way of RNAcentral.
AGAGAGUAUGAUCACAAGACUGAAACUUAAAGAAAUUGAUGAAAGAGCAUCACAAGAUGUGAAGUCUGUGGCUUAAUUUGACUCAAUACAGAGAAACUCAUCAGAUUCAGAUAAAAUAAGAAUUGACAGAUUGAGAGCUCUUUCUUAAUCUUUUGAAUGAUGGUGCAUGGCGGUUCUUAGUUAAUGAAGUGAUUUGUCUGCUUAAUUGUGAUAAUGAAUGAGAUCUUAACCUGCUAAAUAGCCCGGCUCACAUUUGCAGACUACUGACUUCUUAGAGAGACUAUCAGCUCAAGCUGAUGAAAGUUUGAGAUAGUAACAGAUCUGUGAUACUCUUAGAUAUUCUGAGCUGCAUGUGCACUACACUGACAGAGUCAGCAAGUACAUCAUCUUAACUGAGAGAUCUGAAUAAUCUUGUUAAACUCUGUUAUGCUGAGAAUAGAGUAUUGCAAUUAUUAUUAUUAUUAUUAUUAUUAUUAUUCUUCAAUUAUAGAUGUAUGCAGUCAGAGACUAUGACAUCUACCUGAGAACUUUUAGUUCUCAGGGUUUUUUCUAUAUCUGUAAAGUUAACUAUUAUACAUUCAUCAAUUUCAGAUAUGUAAAAUCAGAAAAUUCCAGCCUAGAAUACAAAAACUGUUUACAAAUUGCAGUGUUUUAACAUCUUCUGAUACUUUGAAAUCAUUUGACAAUAUCAUGACAAAGAAAAAGAGAAAGAGAACACAGUCUUAAAGAUAGACACAUUAAAUAGAUAGAUAGAAAGAAAUUGAAAGAAAAAGAUAAAGUAAAGAGAGCUACAGAACAAGAUCUCUGCAGUUUACAUCUUAAGCUAUAUACAUAUUUUAACACCUUAUAUAACCGACCGCCGCCUCUGUCCUCUCGGGCCCGCUUCAGGGGUUAUCAUUCCCUCUAAAGGGCCGCCGCCCAGCUAGCUCCUGUAACUAGCUUACUCAUAAGUGAGAUCCUCACUAAGAAUAACACCAGAGCUACUUAAUUCUAGUUAAGUCUCUAAUCUUCCAGCUGUCAAUCUCAGCAUUCCAGCCUAUCAAUUGGCUGUCACAGUCUUGCUUGCACUAACCACCUAUUAAGAAUGUCUAGGCCUUGUCUCACCUAGGUCCUUGCUAGGCCCAGGGUGUCCUAAUCGGAUAGUUUUUAAAUCUCAUUCCCCGGAAGUGAGUGCCUAGAGUGAGGGGGAUGAGACCUGGCCCAGUUAAGCUUGACAAUGAUUCACUAUCCUGCGGGCACUCUAGACCUCAAUCACUCUAGUACUGAUCUAACUUGAAGCGCCCAGGGGGCUGUUAACCCUAAGAUCAGUGAGAAUUAGCGCCCGGGAACCCCCGGGAUAGACAUCUUAAGCUUGACAAUGAUUCGCUAUAGUGCAUCCAGGGGCCCCCGGUACUGUUUUAUGACUUAACAGUGGAAGCUGUGGUUAAGAUGGCUCUUACAGGGUUCGAACCUGCCCCCUCUUGACAUUCAUUCCCCGGGGGGAAGGCCGCUAAUUGGGGCUCCAUGGUAGCGUAGUUAACCACUACGCCACCGGGCCAGAGUAUUGCAAUUAUUGCUCUUCAAUGAGAAAUGUCUAGUAGAUAUAAGUCAUCAGCUUGUGCUGAUUAUGUCUCUACUCUUUGUACACACUGCUCAUUGCUACUACUGAUUGAAUGGCUCAGUGAGGUCUUCAGACUGACUCAGAGAAAUUGGCAAUGACUACUCAGAGCUGAAAAGUUGAUCAAACUUAAUUAUUUAGAGGAAGUAAAAGUUGUAACAAGGUUUCUGUAGAUGAACCUAUCAUCUA